This 500-nucleotide ribosomal RNA is filed under the name uncultured bacterium. RNAcentral's name for it is "partial 16S ribosomal RNA". It matches the Rfam family "Bacterial small subunit ribosomal RNA", at positions 30 to 523 of the family's 1533-position model. The record is from RNAcentral.
AUUGAACGCUGGCGGCAUGCCUUACACAUGCAAGUCGAACGGCAGCACGGGAGCAAUCCUGGUGGCGAGUGGCGAACGGGUGAGUAAUGUAUCGGAACGUGCCCAGUCGUGGGGGAUAACGCAGCGAAAGCUGUGCUAAUACCGCAUACGAUCCAUGGAUGAAAGCGGGGGAUCGCAAGACCUCGCGCGAUUGGAGCGGCCGAUAUCAGAUUAGCUAGGUGGUGGGGUAAAAGCUUACCAAGGCGACGAUCUGUAGCUGGUCUGAGAGGACGACCAGCCACACUGGAACUGAGACACGGUCCAGACUCCUACGGGAGGCAGCAGUGGGGAAUUUUGGACAAUGGGCGCAAGCCUGAUCCAGCAAUGCCGCGUGCAGGAUGAAGGCCUUCGGGUUGUAAACUGCUUUUGUACGGAGCGAAAAGGCUCUCUCUAAUACAGGGGGCUCAUGACGGUACCGUAAGAAUAAGCACCGGCUAACUACGUGCCAGCCGCCGCUGUAA